RNAcentral lists this non-coding RNA (48 nucleotides) under Schistosoma margrebowiei. Lineage: Eukaryota; Metazoa; Platyhelminthes; Trematoda; Strigeidida; Schistosomatidae. The record is from RNAcentral.
AUCCAGCUGACGAGUUCCAAAUAGGAUGAAGUGUCGCACGUUCUGGAU